Triticum urartu is the source of this 115-nucleotide non-coding RNA. The record is from Rfam. Lineage: Eukaryota; Viridiplantae; Streptophyta; Magnoliopsida; Poales; Poaceae.
UUUGUACUCCCUCCGUUCCAAAUUACUCGUCGUAGAAAUGGAUGUAUCUAGAACUAAAAUACAUCUAGAUACAUCCAUUUCUGUGAUGAGUGAUUCGGAACGGAGGGAGUAAGUC